AAAGAAUGUAAAGUGUUAAUUGACGUGAAUUCAGAGUUCCGCAGGAUCAAAGCGGAUGGACAAGGACGAGAAAGGCAUAGGACUAUCGAGCGCUCGUUCUA
RNAcentral lists this small RNA (101 nucleotides) under Arabidopsis thaliana (thale cress). Its description in RNAcentral is "ATSL086430". The record is from RNAcentral. Lineage: Eukaryota; Viridiplantae; Streptophyta; Magnoliopsida; Brassicales; Brassicaceae.